AUUGAACGCUGGCGGCAUGCCUUACACAUGCAAGUCGAACGGUAACAGGUCUUUCGGGAUGCUGACGAGUGGCGAACGGGUGAGUAAUACAUCGGAACGUGCCUAGUAGUGGGGGAUAACUACUCGAAAGAGUGGCUAAUACCGCAUGAGAUCUAUGGAUGAAAGCAGGGGACCUUUGGGCCUUGUGCUACUAGAGCGGCCGAUGGCAGAUUAGGUAGUUGGUGGGAUAAAAGCUUACCAAGCCUACGAUCUGUAGCUGGUCUGAGAGGACGAUCAGCCACACUGGGACUGAGACACGGCCCAGACUCCUACGGGAGGCAGCAGUGGGGAAUUUUGGACAAUGGGCGCAAGCCUGAUCCAGCAAUGCCGCGUGCAGGAUGAAGGCCUUCGGGUUGUAAACUGCUGUUGUACGGAACGAAAAGUAUUGGGUUAAUACCCUGGGAUCAUGACGGUACCGUAAGAAUAAGCACCGGCUAACUACGUG
RNAcentral lists this ribosomal RNA (484 nucleotides) under uncultured bacterium. RNAcentral's name for it is "partial 16S ribosomal RNA". It matches the Rfam family "Bacterial small subunit ribosomal RNA", at positions 30 to 507 of the family's 1533-position model. The record is from RNAcentral.